AUGAACGCUGGCGGCGUGUCUAAGGCAUGCAAGUCGAACGGAUUCUAUUAGUAGCAAUACUAAGACAAGUUAGUGGCAAACGGGAGCGUAACACAUUGGUAACCUGCCUUGAGGUUCGGUACAACCUGUCGAAAGAUGGGCUAAUUCCGGAUGUGAUCCAAUAGCACAUGUUGUUGGAUGAAAGCAGUAAUGCGCCUUAAGAGGGACCUAUGCUUCAUCAGCUUGUUGGUAGGGUAACGGCCUACCAAGGCUACGACGAAUAGCGGGUGUGGGAGCACGACCCGCCUCACAGGGACUGAGACACUGCCCUGACACCUACGGGUGGCUGCAGUCGAGAAUCUUCCCCAAUGGACGAAAGUCUGAGGGAGCGACGCCGCGUGCAGGAAGAAGCUCUUCGGGGCGUAAACUGCUUUUAUAUGGGAACAAGUUCUGAGGGUACCAUAUGAAUAAGGACCUGCUAAACUCGU
RNAcentral lists this ribosomal RNA (467 nucleotides) under uncultured bacterium. Its description in RNAcentral is "bacterial SSU rRNA". It matches the Rfam family "Bacterial small subunit ribosomal RNA", at positions 29 to 506 of the family's 1533-position model. The record is from RNAcentral.